UGGCAAACGGGUGAGUAUAAUGUGGGAAUCUGCCUUUUGGUUUGGAAUAACACGGGGAAACUUGUGCUAAUACCGAAUAAGCCUUUACAGGGAAAGUUUUAACGCCGAAAGAUGAGCCCGCACUUGAUUAGCUAGUUGGUAAGGUAAAAGCUUACCAAGGCAACGAUCAAUAGCUGUUCUUAGAGGAAGACCAGCCACAUUGGGACUGAGACACGGCCCAGACUCCUACGGGAGGCAGCAGUGGGGAAUCUUGCACAAUGGGGGAAACCCUGAUGCAGCGAUGCCGCGUGAGUGAAGAAGGCCCUUGGGUUGUAAAACUCUUUCGUCGGGGAAGAAAAUGACUGUACCCGAAUAAGAAGGUCCGGCUAACUUCGUGCCAGCAGCCGCGGUAAUACGAAGGGACCUAGCGUAGUUCGGAAUUACUGGGCUUAAAGAGCUCGUAGGUGGUUAAAAAAGUUGAUGGUGAAAUCCCAAGGCUUAACCUUGGAACUGCCAUCAAAACUUUUUAGCUAGAGUGUGAUAGAGGUAAGUGGAAUUUCUAGUGUAGAGGUGAAAUUCGUAGAUAUUAGAAAGAACACCAAAUGCGAAGGCAACUUACUGGGUCACUACUGACACUGAGGAGCGAAAGCAUGGGUAGCGAAGAGGAUUAG
This 650-nucleotide ribosomal RNA is filed under the name uncultured marine bacterium. RNAcentral's name for it is "bacterial SSU rRNA". It matches the Rfam family "Bacterial small subunit ribosomal RNA", at positions 96 to 781 of the family's 1533-position model. The record is from RNAcentral.